CCGACUUCCUCGCCGACCAUCUAUGUGCUAAGAUUCGCAUCCAUCUACUACCGCUCGUCGGCAGUUCAUUUCGACGUGACCCGGCCGUUCCGGCUGGGAGUGCUGCUGCAGCUAAGCUGGCCAUGGCCUCCUGUCACCAUCGGAGGAGAGAUCGGUCCAUGAUGGGAACCAAGUUGUGCUCCUCGUGGAGUUCCAAGCGUGGUCCUGGUGGCUGGCGUGACGGUUGGGCUCAGCCACGGCGGUUCACCCCAACGCCGCUGUUAUGGCGGUGGAGAGCCGCAGAGAAAGAGCUGGUGGUCGCCUGCCAGGCUGCUGCUGCGGGCGUCCAUGCGGAGCAAAAGCUUUUGUCUUUCCUGACCUGCAACUCCAAUCUACCGCUGGCCACGUCCCCAACCUGCUACUGCUGCCACCAUGCCAAGGGCCUCCGCCUUUACGAUGACAGCUCCUGCCCCGACACCAGGGGUAGCAAGGUCUGCCUCGUCCUCUCUGACCAAGAUGGUGAUGACGAUGCGCAGGCUCACCUGCUUCCUCGCCGAUUGUCUAUGCGUUGCGGCUUGCAUCCGUCUGCUCAUGCUCGUCGGCUGCUCAUUUCAGCGUGACCCGACUGUUUUGGAUCCAGCAGUGCUGCUGCUGUACUGGCAGCUGCCUUCUGUCGCCUGUCGUAAGCAGCUGCUCCAUGAUACGAUUAUGCUGCCGAGUCGGUGUAUGAGAGUGCCGACAUGCCCAUGGACACAGGCGCAGCAAUCUGGUGCCUCAGGUCUGAGAUGGGUACAACGGAGACAUGGGGCAGCCAUCCCUGAUAUCAGAGUACGACCCUGGUCAGGAAGGAGACCUGUUCAAGGUCCCGGAGCCCAUUAUCGAUGAACCGCCACUGCUCUGCCUCAAGCCCUAGCGCGGCGACCUCAAUGCCCGUGUCCAGUAGCUUGUUGACAUCGACAACCAAAGGCCCUCCGACCAGCUAUGCAGUGCUGAUGCUCUUGGGCUAACCGAGGCCUCCCACGCCCUGCUUUGACUACCUUCUCGGCGUGGCGACGGUGAUGCUCAACCUCUGCUACAUGCUCUCCGGUGAGCUACUAGUUUACCCCUUCUGUUUUCUGGCUCCAGUGUUCUCUGUGAUUGGCUGUACUUAUGCUCAAGCCGAUGACCCUCGGUUCCUAGCUCUCUUUAUCAUUGGACCAACUGUAUGUUGUUGCAUGAGUAGAAUUUUAUCGAGGCAUGAAGAUGAUGCAUGGUGAAUCUGAUGUUUCACU
Molecule: RNA transcript, 1250 nt
Organism: Lolium rigidum
Lineage: Eukaryota; Viridiplantae; Streptophyta; Magnoliopsida; Poales; Poaceae
Exons: 5
Source: RefSeq, a predicted model, not a curated record